GACGAACGCUGGCGGCGUGCUUAACACAUGCAAGUCGAACGGAAAGGCCCUGCUUUUGUGGGGUGCUCGAGUGGCGAACGGGUCAGUAACACGUGAGUAACCUGCCCUUGACUUUGGGAUAACUUCAGGAAACUGGGGCUAAUACCGGAUAGGAGCUCCUGCUGCAUGGUGGGGGUUGGAAAGUUUCGGCGGUUGGGGAUGGACUCGCGGCUUAUCAGCUUGUUGGUGGGGUAGUGGCUUACCAAGGCUUUGACGGGUAGCCGGCCUGAGAGGGUGACCGGCCACAUUGGGACUGAGAUACGGCCCAGACUCCUACGGGAGGCAGCAGUGGGGAAUAUUGCACAAUGGGCGGAAGCCUGAUGCAGCAACGCCGCGUGCGGGAUGACGGCCUUCGGGCUGUAAACCGCUUUCGCCUGUGACGAAGCGUGAGUGACGGUAAUGGGUAAAGAAGCACCGGCUAACUACGUG
This 468-nucleotide ribosomal RNA is filed under the name uncultured bacterium. RNAcentral's name for it is "partial 16S ribosomal RNA". It matches the Rfam family "Bacterial small subunit ribosomal RNA", at positions 28 to 507 of the family's 1533-position model. The record is from RNAcentral.